Molecule: ribosomal RNA, 514 nt
Filed under: uncultured bacterium
Lineage: Bacteria
Description: bacterial SSU rRNA
Rfam family: Bacterial small subunit ribosomal RNA
Source: RNAcentral
AGAGUUUGAUCAUGGCUCAGAUUGAACGCUGGCGGCAGGCCUAACACAUGCAAGUCGAGCGAACCUAGCUUGCUAGGUGAGCGGCGAACGGGUGAGUAACGCGUAGGAAUCUGCCUGGUAGUGGGGGACAACGUUCCGAAAGGAACGCUAAUACCGCAUACGCCCUACGGGGGAAAGUGGGGGAUCUUCGGACCUCACGCUAUCAGAUGAGCCUGCGUCGGAUUAGCUAGUUGGUAGGGUAAAGGCCUACCAAGGCGACGAUCCGUAACUGGUCUGAGAGGAUGAUCAGUCACACCGGAACUGAGACACGGUCCGGACUCCUACGGGAGGCAGCAGUGGGGAAUAUUGGACAAUGGGGGCAACCCUGAUCCAGCCAUGCCGCGUGUGUGAAGAAGGCCUUCGGGUUGUAAAGCACUUUAGGUCGGGAGGAAGGUUCGCUGGCUAAUAUCCAGCGGAAUUGACGUUACCGACAGAAUAGCACCGGCUAACUCCGUGCCAGCAGCCGCGGUAAUAC